GAUGAACGCUAGCGGCAGGCUUAAUACAUGCAAGUCGAGGGGCAGCGCAGUGUAGCAAUACAUGGGCGGCGACCGGCAAACGGGUGCGGAACACGUACGCAACCUACCCAAAACUGGGGAAUAGCCCGGGGAAACCCGGAUUAAUACCUCGUAACAUAAUAGUGUGGCAUCACAUUAUUAUUAUAGCUCCGGCGGUUUUGGAUGGGCGUGCGCCUGAUUAGAUAGUUGGCGGGGUAACGGCCCACCAAGUCUGCGAUCAGUAACUGGUGUGAGAGCA
Molecule: ribosomal RNA, 277 nt
Filed under: uncultured bacterium
Lineage: Bacteria
Description: partial 16S ribosomal RNA
Rfam family: Bacterial small subunit ribosomal RNA
Source: RNAcentral